RNAcentral lists this ribosomal RNA (427 nucleotides) under uncultured bacterium. RNAcentral describes it as "bacterial SSU rRNA". It matches the Rfam family "Bacterial small subunit ribosomal RNA", at positions 335 to 755 of the family's 1533-position model. The record is from RNAcentral.
ACUCCUACGGGAGGCAGCAGUGGGGAAUAUUGCACAAUGGGGGAAACCCUGAUGCAGCCAUGCCGCGUGUGUGAAGAAGGCCUUCGGGUUGUAAAGCACUUUCAGUAGGGAGGAAGGUAGUGUAGUUAACACCUGCAUUAUUUGACGUUACCUACAGAAGAAGCACCGGCUAACUCCGUGCCAGCAGCCGCGGUAAUACGGAGGGUGCGAGCGUUAAUCGGAAUUACUGGGCGUAAAGCGCAUGCAGGCGGCCUGUUAAGUCAGAUGUGAAAGCCCGGGGCUUAACCUCGGAAUUGCAUUUGAAACUGGCAGGCUAGAGUCUUGUAGAGGGGGUAGAAUUUCAGGUGUAGCGGUGAAAUGCGUAGAGAUCUGAAGGAAUACCAGUGGCGAAGGCGGCCCCCUGGACAAAGACUGACGCUCAGAUGCG